CUGCUGAACAAAUGUGUACACCCCGAACCACUCUGCAGUGCCCCCCGCCUCCGAACCAGAAUCAAUGGACUGGGUCCCACAUGUAAACAGGAGUCUGCAUACGCUGCGACAAGCCAGGGCACUUCAUGAACCAAUGUCUGAAUGCGAUCACCCUGAGUAAACCCCCCACGCGUGUAAAUGCUGUGUCGCCUGUGGAUAGGCAAGAACAGGGAAAAGAUGAGCUCUCACUCUAAAAUGUGGACAAGAGCUCAAGGAGCAGAAAGCUAGCUGGAGAUUUGAGCAGG
RNAcentral lists this small RNA (284 nucleotides) under Histoplasma ohiense. Its description in RNAcentral is "hypothetical lncRNA". The record is from RNAcentral. Lineage: Eukaryota; Fungi; Ascomycota; Eurotiomycetes; Onygenales; Ajellomycetaceae.